GCUGCAGCUGCUGCUGGAUCUCUGUUGAUUAUAAUUGCAAUCAUGAUCUGCUGCAUCUGCAGGAAAUGUAAAGAAGCAGUUCAGACCCAGGAGAAAAACAAAACUGAUUCAGUAUUGUGUAAAACAGCAACACAGAAAAUGAAAUCAAAGAAGGAGCCUGUGUAUGCAUAUGUCACCAAAACACGAUGAUCAAAACAGAAUGUCCUAGAGAGCUCAUAUGGGCCCUGACUCACACCUUUUAGUUCAUAUUUAUUCUCUGACAUUUGUUUAUUCUCUGCUGUUUGUGCCACAUUGAUUCUUU
This is a long non-coding RNA of Sinocyclocheilus anshuiensis, 301 nucleotides long. RefSeq lists it as uncharacterized. The record is from RefSeq and is a predicted model, not a curated record. The transcript has 3 exons. NCBI's taxonomy places the organism in Eukaryota, Metazoa, Chordata, Actinopteri, Cypriniformes, Cyprinidae.